CAUCAAAAAGACCAACACGGGUGUUUAAGAAUAAUGUGUUAGAGACCUUGUAGAUGAAAGAGAAAAUAAGUUUGUGUGUGGUCAGAGAGAGAGAGGGAGAGAGAGAGAGAGAGAGAGAGACGAAGCUGGUUCUGGAAGUUGGGGGACCUCCUUGUUCUCCCUUUGGAAUCUGGAAUCUCACAAAAGCCUGUUUGGGGGAAGGUCAUUGGUAUCUAACAUAUUGCUCAGGGAAACCAUGAGGUUCUAUAGCCUUAACACAUGGAGGAAGAACCCAGUCUGAUGUUUUAGGUAGGCGAUGGGCCACCAGAACCAGCAGCCCCCCCUUACUUCUUUCAAACACACAGCGCGGCUCUGUAUUUUCCUCCGGGGCUCCCCGCGCCAGGUGAAUUUCUCCAUAGCGGCACCAGAGGGCGCCCGAACUGAGGGAAAGGCCUCGGGACGCCAAGAGGACCCAAGCAGGUGCUACCACGCCGGCGACCCAGACCUCCCUGGCUCCGGCUCCUACCUUCUACUCCUGAAAUCCGUGGGCAACUUGUCUUCGUGCUGAGAGUGUAGGAAGGCCCGCUGUCCCGGGAGAAAGGCACCUGGCGUCCACACCCAAUCCCAUCGUCCGCCCCUGAGACCACCCGUGGGUGCCCUGCACCCCGGCUGCUGAAGUUUGCGGGCAGGUCUGCCUUGUCUCCCACUCAGCCGCCCCUCUCAUCAGCAGCCCCACACCCUAAAAAUCAAGGGCCCAAAGCAAACAGUCAGGUCUUUUCUGUAGCGAUUAUCCGAUUCAAGAAGGGCUGUGUUUCUCUCCAAUUGUAUGCUUAAAUCUGGAAUCAAGAUGGGAGCACAUUGUCCCACCGGCUGUUUCCUAAGUAACAAGUCAGUGUUCUGUGUUUCAUAGACGGCAGACCUCUGAUUUCACACACUGAAGCGUGGAAAAGCCCCAUGUACUGGAGCCAGAGAACCUUGAAGGAAAAACAGAACUGCGUUCCUCAGCUCUAUCCUUUCUGCUCAUUUCCUGUCACCCAAGAUGUGAUUUUUCAGUGGUGGUCUCCAUUUUAAUUCACAUAUGGCUGCUAGAUCAAGGGACUGACGUUAUCUAGAAAUCUGUGAAGUAAAAAACAUCCAAGACCCAUUCCCUGGGGGCAGAAAAAGGAGGGUAGAAAAAAAGGGAGAAGAUCAGUCCCAGCCCAGCAAUAGAAGUACGCACAAAACAGAAGAGAACACGAAGGGACUUCGGUUUCCUUUUUAUCUCAAUACACACGGGCUAGUGAAAUGACAUCUCUGUGUCCAUUGGGAAUCUCCAUGCAGGUCACCUCCUCUCUGAAGCCCACCGGGCAGUCUGCCAUGCCUCCUUCAGGGCUCCAGCACUGAUGUCACUUCCAUUACAUCACCUGUCAACCUGCUCUGGUGCUACCUGUCCAUCCUCACUGAUGGACUGUGAAUUGAGGCAGAAGUUGUGUCUUAUUUAUCACCAUAAUUGAGAACUGAGUGUUCUUUUCGAAUUUUAGCUUGCGUGAAUUCUAUUGAUUGACUUAUUAAGUGAAUAAAUGUCACCCUGACUCCAGGAGCUUGGCCCCGGAAGUUCAUUCAUGUCGGUUCAGGAGAGAGUAUAGACUAGAAAUGGAAGCACGGUUUGCCUAAUAGGAGUGUUUUAUUUUGUAGGAGCAGCAUGGAGAACCUGU
Acinonyx jubatus (cheetah) is the source of this 1673-nucleotide long non-coding RNA. RefSeq lists it as uncharacterized. The record is from RefSeq and is a predicted model, not a curated record. The transcript has 6 exons. NCBI's taxonomy places the organism in Eukaryota, Metazoa, Chordata, Mammalia, Carnivora, Felidae.